Long non-coding RNA from Oreochromis niloticus (Nile tilapia), 999 nucleotides. RefSeq lists it as uncharacterized. NCBI's taxonomy places the organism in Eukaryota, Metazoa, Chordata, Actinopteri, Cichliformes, Cichlidae. The transcript has 2 exons. The record is from RefSeq and is a predicted model, not a curated record.
GCCUCAUUGUGCUGCUCUGAGCUCAGAUUGAUGGUGUUUGUGCUGCUUGAGCUCUCAGGGAGCUCUCUUGUUGUAUUUGCCCGUCAGUAGGUCACAAGCUAAGGGGGACCAGGUCAUGGCUCCAUCACCUGACAGAUACACAGACCUCAUGUUGUCCCCAAGUUUUAAAACUUGAACUAAAUCUUUAGUCCUACUUGGAACUGUCCGUGGUAAAUAAACCAAGCUAAGUGAGUUGGUCGUUGAAACUGCUGGCCCAGAUGGUCUCACCCACCGCACCCCCACCAUUCUCAUGGUCUACAUUGUAAAAGGAAUGAUGGGACAAGCACAAUCAGCGGGAUUGGCUGCAGCUGAGGCGGAUGGCCGAGAGAAGCUGGGGUCAUUGCCAGUUGCAGUGGAGGACAGACUGUGCAGACCCAGAUCACAGUCUGCUGGGUCAUCCUCUAAAGCUGGUGGUGGAACCUACGUAGUGAAUGACUCCCGCAGGGCUUCCCUGGUGAUGAGGUGGGCUAGCUCCAGCCACUCACGCAUCUGCUACACAUACUCUGGAGCUGAGGGUUGGUUGUCUGGAUCGUGGGGUGAACCUGCGACCGCUGGCUUGCUCAAUUCUAAGCCAAACAUCAUGAAGUUUGAGGUGAAGCCUGUAUUACUGUGCUUGGUCGCCCUGUAGGCCAUAACAGCAUACAGGAUCAUCAGGUCCCAGUCACCAUGGCACAAUGUGGAGGCCAUUAUGUUUUGGAGCAUUGCUGGCCAUCUGUAAGGAAGAGGACUCCCUUGUUUAUGUAUUUAUUUAUUCAAAUUGAUGUAUUAUAUACUGUGGAGGAAGGUUGGGAUUUAAAAACAUACCUGUUAGUGGGAAAAUGGUUUAGUCUGUGACAGCUGAAAGGUAUUUAACACUGCCAGGUGUCAUUAGAGAUUAUUGUUGUGCAGUGAAGAAGCUCGACAUGUGAAUUGUUUGUGAGAAGAGCUGCAUGAAAAAUAAAUACUUGUUGUUCCACUGCA